GCGAAGAGAGAAACAGGGUAAGAGAGAGAGUUGUAUACUGUUACAAUUUCUAAAGAGUAAUACAAAAGUUAUUAAGUUAAGAAAGGCUUUGUAAAGUCAACAUAUCAUUCACCCAUGUAUGACCAUGUAUGAAACUUGAACUAGUUGUUCAAAGAUAGUGGUUUUCCUUCUAAGGGCAUCGCAAAUCGUGUGUGGUGGGAGGUGCUAGAAGUUGUGAAAUUGAGUUCUGCUAGAGAUGAUUUGGUGACAUUUUUAAUUGAGUUCUGCUAGAGCCGACAAUAUGUGAAAGUGUCCACUCGAUCCUAUCUAUAAUCUCAAUCGUUAACUUUCUCUCGAUCGUCUGUUCUUUAAUGAUCAUGAUCUUCCACAUUAUUGAGAAUGAUUUCCAAACCCAGUUCACACCCCUUUAAUUAUGCGACUUCCUGAUAUAUAUUUUCUGAGAUUUCUGUUAAAUAUGUCAAUUGAUAACCUUCUCGGUGGUUUUAACAUACUACAUUUGUUGGUGUUACGUGUUUUUAUUGUAAAAUUACUCAACACUUGUUUCCUUAAAAGUAUAAACUCAACAGGCUUCCUAUAGUUUCGCUAAGCUAUUCUUGAAUUCUUUCUUUCGUCUCUGUGGGUUUUUAACAAGGACAAGAUAUAAUACUACAACAUAUGCAUUGAAUUAAUGCGUCUUAUUUAAUUGUA
This 687-nucleotide long non-coding RNA is filed under the name Panax ginseng (ginseng). RNAcentral's name for it is "long non-coding RNA (PGIN_LNC013952)". Lineage: Eukaryota; Viridiplantae; Streptophyta; Magnoliopsida; Apiales; Araliaceae. The record is from RNAcentral.